GAUGAAGAACGUAGCGAAAUGCGAUAAGUAAUGUGAAUUGCAGAAUUCAGUGAAUCAUCGAAUCUUUGAACGCACCUUGCACCCUUUGGACUGCUCCAAAGGGUAUGCUCGUUUGAGUGUCAUUGUACUCUCACACUCUCUGAUCCUUUGGAUUUGGGGAGCAGUGGACUUGGGUGCUUGCUGCUUCCUUGUGGCUCACCUGAAAUGCAUCAGUGCAUCUCUCGAUUGGACAUAGUACGGCGUGAUAAGUGUCUUCGCCGGCACCUCAUAUGAGGGUGGCCGAUCGGGAGCUCUGUGCUUUCAAACCGUCUUCGGACAACGCUGACAACUUGACCUCAAAUCGAGUAGGACUACCCGCUGAACUUAAGCAUAUCAAUAAGCGGGAGGA
This 388-nucleotide unclassified non-coding RNA is filed under the name soil metagenome. RNAcentral's name for it is "partial contains 5.8S ribosomal RNA, internal transcribed spacer 2, and large subunit ribosomal RNA". The stretch from base 1 to 122 matches the Rfam family "5.8S ribosomal RNA", at positions 35 to 154 of the family's 154-position model. The record is from RNAcentral.